UAUGAGGUGGGUGCCAUAUUCAAGGGU
Molecule: non-coding RNA, 27 nt
Filed under: Mus musculus (house mouse)
Lineage: Eukaryota; Metazoa; Chordata; Mammalia; Rodentia; Muridae
Source: RNAcentral